Molecule: ribosomal RNA, 304 nt
Filed under: uncultured Actinomycetes bacterium
Lineage: Bacteria; Bacillati; Actinomycetota; Actinomycetes
Description: bacterial SSU rRNA
Rfam family: Bacterial small subunit ribosomal RNA
Source: RNAcentral
UCGAACAGGAUUAGAUACCCUGAUAGUCCACACCGUAAACGUUGGGCGCUAGGUGUGGGACUCAUUCCACGAGUUCCGUGCCGCAGCUAACGCAUUAAGCGCCCCGCCUGGGGAGUACGGCCGCAAGGCUAAAACUCAAAGGAAUUGACGGGGGCCCGCACAAGCGGCGGAGCAUGUUGCUUAAUUCGAUGCAACGCGAAGAACCUUACAAUCACUAGUGCGGCCGCCUGCAGGUCGACCAUAUGGGAGAGCUCCCAACGCGUUGGAUGCAUAGCUUGAGUAUUCUAUAGUGUCACCCUAAAUA